CUUGGCGAUUGGAGCGGAUUGGCACCACCUCUUCCCAUUCCGAACAGAGUCGUGAAACGAUCCAGCGCUGAUGAUACUACCUGAUUAUUUGGGUGGGAAAGUAAGUCGUCGCCAGGA
Molecule: ribosomal RNA, 117 nt
Filed under: Candidatus Woykebacteria bacterium RIFCSPHIGHO2_02_FULL_43_16b
Lineage: Bacteria; Candidatus Woykeibacteriota
Also listed under: 1 other name
Source: RNAcentral